AACGCUAGCUACAGGCUUAACACAUGCAAGUCGAGGGGAAACGACAGUAAAGCUUGCUUUAUUGGGCGUCGACCGGCGCACGGGUGCGUAACGCGUAUCCAACCUGCCCCCAACUCCGGAAUAGUCCCCCGAAAGGGGGGUUAACGCCGGAUGCUGCAAUUUUUCCGCAUGGUGAAAUUGCGAAAUGAAAAAGGUUGGGGCUGGGGAUGCGUCCCAUUAGGUAGUAGGCGGGGUAACGGCCCACCAAGGCGACGAUCAGUAGGGGUUCUGAGAGGAAGGUCCCCCACAUUGGAACUGAGACACGGUCCAAACUCCUACGGGAGGCAGCAGUGAGGAAUAUUGGUCAAUGGACGAGAGUCUGAACCAGCCAAGUAGCGUGCAGGAUGACGGCCCUAUGGGUUGUAAACUGCUUUUAUGCGGGGAUAAAGUUGGGGACGUGUCCCUUUUUGCAGGUACCGCAUGAAUAAGGACCGGCUAAUUCCGUGCCGGCAGCCGCGGUAAUACGGAAGGUCCGGGCGUUAUCCGGAUUUAUUGGGUUUAAAGGGAGCGUAGGCCGGCUUUUAAGCGUGUUGUGAAAUGCCGCGGCUCAACCGUGGCACUGCGGCGCGAACUGGAGGCCUUGAGUGCGCGGGAGGUAGGCGGAAUUCGUGGUGUAGCGGUGAAAUGCUUAGAUAUCACGAAGAACUCCGAUUG
RNAcentral lists this ribosomal RNA (693 nucleotides) under uncultured bacterium. Its description in RNAcentral is "bacterial SSU rRNA". It matches the Rfam family "Bacterial small subunit ribosomal RNA", at positions 32 to 715 of the family's 1533-position model. The record is from RNAcentral.